Monodelphis domestica (gray short-tailed opossum) is the source of this 8730-nucleotide non-coding RNA. NCBI's taxonomy places the organism in Eukaryota, Metazoa, Chordata, Mammalia, Didelphimorphia, Didelphidae. The record is from RefSeq and is a predicted model, not a curated record.
AUUCAAGGUUCUAGAUUCACAGAAGGAUGAUCAGGACUUGGAGGUGCUCAGACCAAACUCUCUGAAGGCUCCCCAAAGAGAAAUGUAAAAUCAGGAGAAGACGUAGGAAGUGACACAAAACAAGCAUCUUUAAAAGAAGCUGUCACUUCCUGAGAGGGACAGUUCUUCGUUCUUUGGAAGUGGAGGCUGGAAACCAUUCUUCAUUCUUUGGAGUGGAAGCUGGAACUGAGACCCUGUUCCUGGUGAGGCUGUUCUAAAAUCCCUUCCUUUGAACUGACACAUGAAGACAAAAAAGAUGAAGGUUAAAGAAGACUAAUGAUCCAUCUGUAACCAAGCUUGGGAAGUCACUUUUUUGCCUUUAUCUGAUAUGAUCCUUACCACUUAAACCUCCAAAUAAGAAACAAAAUAUCUCCAUCAGCUGGUGGAAAACUUCCCUGAGUAGGUCUGGAACUGAGGUAUUGUUGAUAGCUGACAGUUGAGGGAGAACUGUGAUUCAGAUUAUGAAAAGAACUAGAAUAUUUUUUAUAGAUGUAAGUUUGUAACUAAUUUUUGUCUCUCUCCCUGCCAGUGUAACCGUUUGAAUGUUAAUUUAAUUUUACAGAAUAUCAUUUAUGUAAAUGUAAUUAGAAGGGAAACAUGAUCGGGAGAUGCACAGCACCAAAGAGAAUUUAUUACUCCAAGGGGUAUUGCUCUAAUCAUUCAACUGCAAUAUUGAGUUUCCCCAGAUUUAAUCUAAAAGCAAUAAAUUACAAAAGGCUAAUGUCCUGCCCAACAAAAAGCUGUCACGAACCCAAGUUACUGAGGGAAAAAAAAUCGAGAGAAAAGUCCUCAACUUUAUUUCAGCAACAGGCUUUCUGUUAGAAAAUCCAGCAUAUAUAAAACACAAAAAAUAAAGCUGUGCUUUAUAUGAGAAUAACAUUAUUAUUUCUAAUUCUUUCCACAAUUCAACUGACCACCUUUUUUCUUUCCAGGGUUCUAUGUCUGCAUGAUGAUAAACAUAAUUACUGAAUGUCCUAAAUUCCAUUUUCCAGGUUAUCAAGAAAAGAAAAUGGAGGAAUAUAACCAAGAUUAAUAAUCUUCUUAUUCCUUUAUGGUGGUUCUACAGGGAAAUGGUGUAGCAAGGGAGUAAUACUGAAUAUGUAGUCAGAAAACCUAGGUUCAAAUUCUGACAGCUAUAAAUGUGACUUUGGACAGAGAGGUUUCUCUGUCCAUCUCUGUAGUGCUGGUGCUCCACACAUGUACCUUCAGCAAUACUUUGUUUUAUCUAAGUGCCAUCAAAAGUGGGAAUCCCUUCCUGGGACACCUGGAUAUUAAUCUUCUAUCUUGUAAUAUGUUAUAAAUGUCAUAUACCUACUUAUAUAUAUAUAAUAUACAUAUACAUACAAACAUGUUGUGCUCAUUAUAAUGCAGGAGGGAAGGAGCUGUUUCAUUUUUGUCUUUGUAGCAUCCUCAGGACUUAGAAAAGUGACUCCAUGUAAUAGGUGCUUGAUAAAUACAUGUUGAUUUAUGGAAAUAAUUUAUUUAUUUUAUUUCUGUUCAAUGAGGGGGUUUAACAAUAUAAACCACUUAGUUCCCUUUUUGCUCAAACUCCAGAAGAAAGGGAAAAGUUUUGGUAUACAUGUCAAAAUCUUGAUGCUCCAUUUUGUUUCCAUGUUUCUGGAUAGAGCAUUACAAACCACCCAAUCUUGAAAUCUCAGUCACUUUUAUCUCUUCUUUUCUCUUUUCCUCCCUUAUAUAUUUAAUUUGUUUUCAACCUUGUCAAAUCUAAUGCCAUGUAAUUACAGAUUGUUCAAGUUGUAAGAACUCUAGAUAUCAUCCAAUCCUAUCAUUUUUAUUUCAUGGAUGAGGAAACUGAAGCUGUGAGGGCUCUCAAUGUUACAUAAUUAGUGAUAGUAUUGUAAUUCAAAAACCCAAAUCUUUGUCUAAUGUUUCUUCUUGGUAGGUGUGGCAGUGGUGGUUUAUCCAUUUUUUUGUUUUUCCCUACUGUAAUACUUUGGCACUAGAUGCCUUAUAUCUAUUCUUUCUUUUUCCUUCCCAUUGGACUUACCCCAGUUCAAGUAUUUAUUGCCUCUCCCUUGAAUUACUCAUUUAACUACUGAAAUAGCUUUUUAAUAGAAUUCCCCUUCUCCAGUCUCUCCUGCCACCAAUCCAUCCUACAAAGUACUGACAGAUUAAUCUUGCUAGAGCAUACUUGUAAGUAUGUCAUCAUACUUUAAAUUAUUUACCAUUCCUUCACUGACCAUUCAAGGCUCUUCAUAUCCCAACUUUUCCAACUUUUCUCUUACUACUUAUUUGCCCUACAUCAUUCUUUUAUAACACAGUUGACUAUGGUCCCAUUUUCUCCAUGCCAUCUCUGUUACCUUUUACUUUAUUGGGAUUCUCAUACGUUGACACUCACUGAAAAGUUUGGGUUAUCAAUGGUUCAAACACCUAGUAGCUAUUUUAAUUCAGAUUUAGGUGCUUAAUAACUAGCACCCCAGUUCCAUUUAAAUACUUAACACUAGAUUAGUUUUUGCAAAGUUAUAUUUACUUCAAAGAUAUAGCAAGAACAAUCAAACAUUUCCCUCAAUAUCUUGGGGUUAUAAUUCUCCCACCCCAAACAAUCUCAGCCUGGGUUAAAGAAGAAUUAGGCUCACAGGUUAGCUUAGUUUCUACAUAGUAUUUUCCCCAUAGAUUUCAUGUCUAAAAAAAGCAGUACUUUCUUCUGAUGGGCUAGUAUCCCCUCAGUUUCACCACUUUGCUUAAUUCCUAGACUUGUGGCUCCUCUUGGCUGAUGCUCCUAGGCCAGUUUGGAAACUCAACUCAUGCAAUGGAAAAGAGUGAACAAAAAGGUCUAAGACCCAGGUCCAUUUCUUAAGGCUAUAGGACCUAUAUGGGAGAAGAUGAAGAAGAAGCACCCUCUCUCCCCUUUCCCCUUAUUUGAUGGAAUGAGUAAAGGAACCCUUCACCCUCAGGCUCAAAAAUAGAAUAAUUGCAUUGCUGAAUAAUGACAGUUUAAAGACAUGGAUGGCUCUAACUAUAUAGCCAAUGGAGGUAGGCUGGGGUGCAGGAAACUAUUCUCAAGGUAGGCUAGUAAUUCAUUCAUGCAACAUUCUUUCUGCCUCUCAAAAGCAAUCCCCUAGAAGGCUAUAAGUAAAUAAGUAUUUGUUAUGCAUCUAUUAUGUGCUAGCCACUGUACCAAGUGAUUUACAAAUAAUAUUUGAUCCUCAUAGCAGUCCUUGGAAGUAAGUGCUAUUAUUAUCUCCAUUUCACACUUAAGGAAACUGAGGUAGGUGGAGGCUAUGGGACUACCCUUACAUGGUUCACAUGGCUAGUGUUUGAGGUUGGAUUUGAACUCAUGUCUCCUGGACAUUAAAGCCAGCACUCUGUCCCCUGCUUCACCUAGCUGCCACCAUUGGGUCAUACCAUUUUAGGAGAUCUAGGCAGCACUAAAUUCCAAUUAUGGAUUUCUUAAUGAAGCUAGUCUAUUUAACAUACCACAUUCCUAGUCUAGAUGCCUUCCACAUAAAUGCACUUGUUUAAACCUGAUACAAUAUUCCUCCCUAAAAGAAAUGGUACAGGGUCCAGUUUAAAUGCAGCAUCUUUAGAAAUUCUUCCAUAAUUUGUGCUAGCCAGAAAAGUGCUGGACAUUGAGUUGAGAAGACCUGAAUUGAAUCAUGUCUCAUAUUUUAACUAUGUAACCAUGGGCAAGUCACUUAAAUUCUAUUGGUCUCAGUUUCCUCUUCUGUAAAAUGGAACAGUAAUAAGACAUGAGGAAAGCUAGGUUGUACAAUAGAUAGAGUGUUGGGCCUGGAGUCAGGAGAUUCAUCUUUAUGAGUUCAAAUCUGACUUCAGAUACAUACUAGCUGUGUGACCCUGGGCAAGUCACCUAACUCUGUUUAACUCAGUUCCUCCUCUAUAAAAUUAUCUGGAGAAGGAAAUGGGAAAUCAGUGUAGUAUCUUUUGCCAAAGAAACCAUACCUAGGGCCAAAAGAGUAGGAGGUGACUAAAACACCUAAAUAAUAACAAAUAACACUUAUGUUAUUAGAUUGUCGUGCAAAUCAAAUGAAAUAAGUUACCUAAAUAAAUGUUAUUUUUGGUAUCAUUAUUAUUAUCUCUCACACUUUUGAGUUCUUAUUACAAUUUGCAUCCUUUUAUGCAUAUAACACAUUCUAUCAUAUCAUAAAACUAUAUUGUACGCAAAUAUGCCUCCACAAAAGUCUGAUCCUGAAGUCUCAUCAUUGCAUGGAAGUGAACUUGAAUUCUCUCAUGUUAUAACAGAGGAAUGCAAACUCUAGCAGUUUCUGCCUUGCUGGAAAAACUCCACAUAUGGUACUGGAAACAGAUUGUGUCUAUUUUUUAAGGACUAGCCAAAUAAAGUAAAAAAAUUAGCAAAAGCCUGGCUACCAACUAAUGAAUUCUUUAGCCAAAGCAAUCCCCAAAACAAGAACAAAAACAAAAUAGACCUUAGGCUUGCUUUGCCUUUUCCCACUUCCCUUGCAAAGAUGGAAGCCUAUUUAUAAGCAUUGAUUUAACUGCUGAUCAUCUAAAAGAAACACUUUUACAAUUACUUAAGCAUGACCAUCAGAACUGAAACAUUAAUCUUGACAUUUUCCCUAUCUUGUUGCUCAGUCAUUUUUCAGUCAUGUCUGACUCUGCAUGACCCCAUUUGGGGUUUUCUUGACAAAGAUAUUGGAGUGGUUUACACUUUCCUUCUCCAGCUCAUUUUACAGAUAAGAAAAUUGAGGCAAACAGGUUGAAGUGAUACCACAUUCUCCCUCUUGUUAGAGAAGUCCCUAUUCUUGGAAUGUUCUGCUUCUUUAUAACCACUUCACAGCACUUAGAUCCUUGGCUUCUUUCAAGGCUCAGAUCAAAUCUCACAUUCUGCAAGAAGCUUAAGAUUAUUACUGUUUGGUCAUUUCAAUCAUAUCCAGCUCUUCAUGUCUCCAUUUGAGGUUUUAUUGGCAAAGAUAUUGGAACAGUUUGCUAUUUCUUCUCCAGUGUGUUCGAAUUUUACAGAUGAGGAAACCGAAGCAAACAGAGCUAAGGGAUUUGCCCAACAUCAUAAAGCUAUUAAUUGUCUAAGGCCAGAGUUGAAUUUAUGAAGAUGAUCUUUCCCAACUCCAGGCCUGGCACUCUAUCUACUGUACCACCUAGCUGCUCCUUCUAAGAUUUCCUCCUAUUUAUUUUGUGUGUAUAUUUAUAUAUUCAUAUAUAUGUACCUAUUUUUAAUCUAGUCAUUCCUAAUUUAGUCAAUCCUCUUCAUAUACUAUCACUGUUGAUAAAAACGUUAUUCUCUUUUUUGGUGUCAGAUAUAUUUGUCUAAACUCAGACCUACCUUGAGUUUAAAUAUAAUAGAGUUCCAGGUAAAUCUUUCAUUCCAUGAUCCAGUUUUCUAACUGUUUUAAAGAAUUAUUUCUUUCCUUAAAAAACUUAGAAUGGAAAUUCCUUAAAGCAGAGUCCUUUCCAUGUGUAUUGUAGUAUUUAGCAUAGCAUCUGACAUAUAAGUAAAUAUUUGUUGAAUGACUUACCAUACCUACAUGUUAUAAAAUAAGAAUUAACUUACAGAGAGUAAAUCAAUCAAAUAAGCAAUAAAACAAUCAGCCUCUGCAGAAAAACUAUAGGUUGCUUGGGAACUAUUAAUAUUAUUGAGAAACAAGACUAAGUCUGGCAUAGUGUAUCAAGAGCUGGUCUCAGAGCCAGGAUGAAAUGAAUUUAAAUAUACUGUGAUUGACUGUGAUCCUAGACAAUUGUUAAAAUUUGUCAUUGUCCUUGGCAGCUCUUAUUCUAUGAUCUGCAGAGAAGCUAUUGACAUGUAUUGGUAGAGGGAGUUUACUUAUUUGGGAAUACCAACAAAAUCAGAAGUCUGGUCUCUUUUUCUGUGAGAAGCUCUGUGAUGAGUAGAAGAAAGAACACUGAAAUGAAAAUUUGGAGAAACCUAGGUUUUAGCCUGUCUUUCAUAGUUACUUGCUAUGAAAUAAUGGACAAAUUGCUUAGGUGCUCUGAGUUCUUUUUCUCUUCUAUCAUAAAAGUUUAUCACUUGUGACUUGUUAGGGUUGCAUGAGAUAAUGGGUGGGCAUUUUGCCACCUUGAAGUUCAGAAGAGAACCAGGACAGAGAAACUGUGAUCACCAAGAGAUAGAAAACUCCAAAAUGAAUAGACUCCUACUACGCAUAUUGGCACCUUCUCUCUAGCUUUUAAUCUUAAAAGUUGUCUAGGACACUAUGAGAUUAAGUAACAUGCCCAUUGUUAUACCACUAAUGUUUGUCAGAGGCAACCUUAAAAUACUAUAUAAUUGUGAUUUGGGGAAGGAAGGGAGGGAGCGAGGAGUAUGGAAGGAAGAAUGGAGGGGUUGAGGGAAGAAGAGAAGGAGAAGAAGGUGAGAAGGAAGAAAAGAAAUGGAAUAGAGGAAAGGAAGGAAGAGAGAAGAGAAAGAGAAAGAAUGAAAAGGAGGCAGAAAUGGAGGAGAAAGAAAGGAGGGAGAAAUAGAAGGGACAAAAGAAGGGAAGGAGAGGAGGAGAAAGGAAAAGAAGGAAAGAAGAGAAGAGAUAACCUCUAUGUAAAAGAAGGAAAAGAUGAGAUGUAAAUUCUGCUUUUAUUAUUAAUUCUUAAGAAGUAUUAUAUGGAUAAAAUUAUUUUAAAAUAGUUCUUUCCACUUUAUAGAUGAAGAUAUAUGGAUUGUAUACUGUGCAUCUGCCAAUCACAUUAUCAUUUAAUCAUUUUGUUUUAUUGAGUUAGAUAACAAGUGAUUUUUGUAAAAAAGGGAUCCUCUCUGCUGUGAAGGGCUCAGACCAUUCUCCUUUACCUUUCUCUAAUAAUACCAUGGGCUUCUUUUUGUAAGAUUUUCUAUCUCAAGGCUAUUGUAUUUUAUCUCUUACACAACUUUCUCCCCAUAGUAAAUAUCUCAAGAGCAUUAAAUUAAGUGAUUUUUUGUCACAGCUCUUCUAUCAUAUUACAAAUCUAAUUGGCUAAUUAUUUCUUUACCUCAGAGAUGUUUAAUUAUUAGAUAGUUUAUUUCUUUGGAGACAGCUUGCACAGGCACACCAGUCUAUACAGACAUCAAAAUAGUAAACUCUUUCCCUACCUUCUUGUAAUAAGAGGCCAUGAAGAGUUUUCCCUCACAAUAAAAUAAUUUUUCUAUGAUUUAUUCUAACAAAUACAUCAUGUGAAACUUUUCAAUUGCCUAUUUAGAUGUCACUAAAACACAGGGGAAAGAACGUGCUUGGAAACUGUUGACAAGUCUAUUCAGAUUUAGGAAUGAAAACAGCAAAGCAUCAUAUGUACGUGCUUGUUCCUUGCAGAAGAUAUGACUGUGAGUUAGGAGAAUUGAAUUCUGGUUCCAGAAUUCCCCCUAAUUAUGUGACCUUAGAAAAAUAAUUUCAUCACUUAGAUCAUUAACUUGUUCAACUGUUAGGCAUGGGGGUUAGAGAGAUGAAUGUCAAAGUCAGGAUUGUAUUGGACUGGAAUCUCCUCAGUUAAGAAGAUUGUUAUACUUUCAAUAUGACCAUAUAUAUUUUACAAAUUGACAAAUGCUACAAAUCAGAUCUGAAUUUAUUGCAUUAUUUGUUGUCUAGCCUUAAAAACAUGAAAAAGAAAACAUUAAAAAGCAGAUUAACCUUCAAAAUGUGUCAUACUUUUAUUUUACAGAGAGCUGAUUAUUAAACAUUUAUUACCAAGUAAAGCCCAUUUUGGCUCUAACCCUUUAUGAUCAUUGCACGUGAAUGAUAGAGAAACACUAACUCUGUUAAAUAAGUUCACAUGGAGUGUUCUACAAAAAUAACAAUAUAAUAUUUUAUAUUUAUUUUGGCAAUUUAAACUUUGCAAAGCAUUUUACAUGUUAUCACAUGUAAUCUUCAUUAAAACUCUUUUUGUUGAUACUAUUAUUACCACCCCUUUUUAUGAGGAAUAUUAUCCCUUUUUAUUUAUUUAUUUUUUUAAUCCUAACUUUCUGUCUUAGAACCAAUACUGAUUAUUGGUUCCAAGGCAGAAGAGUGAUAAGGGCUAGGCAAUGGGGGUUAAGUGACUUUCCUAGGCUCACACAGAUGGGAAAUGUCUGAGGCCAGAUUUGAAUUUAGGACAUUCCAUCUCUAGACCUGACUCUCCAUCCACUGAACCACCAAGCUGUACCAUAUUAUGCCUUUUUAAAUGAGGAAUAUGAUGUUAAGUGAUUAUCCAGGAUCAAGUGUCUGAUAAGUAUCUGAGGAAGAGUUUGAUCUCAGUUCUUCCUGACACUCUCUUUUUAAUAUUUUUUCAGUCUUUCACUAAGCAUUUAUUUUUAAAAGUUUUCCACUACAUUUUCUGUUGAUGCAAUUUUUAAUAAUUGUUUUCUGACAUUUUGUGAUCCGUGUUCUCUCCCUUCCAUUCCUCAUCUUUCCCAAGAUAGCAGGUACUCUAGGUUGUACAUAUGUUAUCACGUUAUACAUAUUUCCCCAUCUUUCAUGUUGUGAAACAAGACACAUAUUGCUUACACUAGAGAAAAAUUCAUGGAGGAAAUAAGAAUGGUAUGCUUCAGUCUGCAUUCAAACUGUCAGUUCCUUCUAAGGCAGUAGCCUUUUCCACCAGGAGUGUCUUGUAAUUGUCCUAGAUCCUUGCAUUACUAAUAAUAGUUGUCAUUCACAGGUGAUCAGAGUGAAUUAUUGCUGUUGCCUUCCUGACUUUCAAUCCCAAACUCUAACCACUACACCAGAGGGGUCAAAUACAUGUGUGCAUCCCAUAACACUCCAGAGUAAGGCAUAAACCAGAUUAACAUGU